RNAcentral lists this ribosomal RNA (308 nucleotides) under Schinkia azotoformans MEV2011. RNAcentral describes it as "bacterial SSU rRNA". It matches the Rfam family "Bacterial small subunit ribosomal RNA", at positions 19 to 315 of the family's 1533-position model. The record is from RNAcentral. Lineage: Bacteria; Bacillati; Bacillota; Bacilli; Caryophanales; Bacillaceae.
CUGGCUCAGGACGAACGCUGGCGGCGUGCCUAAUACAUGCAAGUCGAGCGGAUGAUAAAGGAGCUUGCUUCUUUAGAUUCAGCGGCGGACGGGUGAGUAACACGUGGGCAACCUGCCUGUAAGACUGGGAUAACUUCGGGAAACCGGAGCUAAUACCGGAUAACUCUUCGAACCUCAUGGUUCGAAGAUAAAAGAUGGUUUCGGCUAUCACUUACAGAUGGGCCCGCGGCGCAUUAGCUAGUUGGUGAGGUAACGGCUCACCAAGGCGACGAUGCGUAGCCGACCUGAGAGGGUGAUCGGCCACACUG